This 459-nucleotide ribosomal RNA is filed under the name uncultured bacterium. Its description in RNAcentral is "partial 16S ribosomal RNA". It matches the Rfam family "Bacterial small subunit ribosomal RNA", at positions 339 to 795 of the family's 1533-position model. The record is from RNAcentral.
CUACGGGUGGCGGCAGUGAGGAAUAUUGGUCAAUGGGCGCGAGCCUGAACCAGCCAAGUCGCGUGAGGGAUGACGGUCCUACGGAUUGUAAACCUCUUUUGCCGGGGAGCAAGCGUGCGUUCGUGAACGCACGUCGAGAGUACCCGGAGAAAAAGCAUCGGCUAACUCCGUGCCAGCAGCCGCGGUAAUACGGAGGAUGCGAGCGUUAUCCGGAUUUAUUGGGUUUAAAGGGUGCGUAGGCGGGAUGCCAAGUCAGCGGUAAAAAUGCGGUGCUCAACGCCGUCGAGCCGUUGAAACUGGCGUUCUUGAGUGGGCGAGAAGUAUGCGGAAUGCGUGGUGUAGCGGUGAAAUGCAUAGAUAUCACGCAGAACUCCGAUUGCGAAGGCAGCAUACCGGCGCCCUACUGACGCUGAGGCACGAAAGCGUGGGUAUCGAACAGGAUUAGAUACCCGUGUAGUC